GCAGAGUAGGUACGUCGCGUUAAGUGCCGCGAAAUGGGAUGUCGUUCGCGGACGAAAGGGAAACCUGCGGUGGCGUGCCGCGUCCGUUG
Molecule: non-coding RNA, 89 nt
Filed under: chicken gut metagenome
Description: THF riboswitch
Rfam family: THF (Tetrahydrofolate) riboswitch aptamer
About the family: THF riboswitch presents a pseudoknot that joins P1-P2 and the loop of P3 and two THF binding.
Source: RNAcentral